UACGAAGGUGGCAAGCGUUACUCGGAAUUACUAGGCGUAAAGGGCAGGUAGGUGGUUUGGUAAGUCUAUUGUGAAAGCUCCCGGCUUAACUGGGAGAGGUCAAUGGAUACUGCCAGACUUGAGUAUAGGAGAGGGUACUGGAAUUCCCGGUGUAGCGGUGAAAUGCGCAGAGAUCGGGAGGAACGCCAAUGGCGAAAGCAGGUACCUGGACUAUUACUGACACUCAGCUGCGAAAGCUAGGGGAGCAAACAGG
This 253-nucleotide ribosomal RNA is filed under the name uncultured bacterium. RNAcentral describes it as "partial 16S ribosomal RNA". It matches the Rfam family "Bacterial small subunit ribosomal RNA", at positions 524 to 776 of the family's 1533-position model. The record is from RNAcentral.